CACCAGCAAGAAUAAGAAGUAUUGGCAGCAGUAAGCAGGCGGGCAGGCUGGGAUUUUGCAUGGAAAUCAUGAGCCCUGCCUUGCUUUUCUUUUCUGAAAUGUUUUGGAAGGAGAGUUAUGAAUAGCCCAGAAAUAGGUCUCAUUUUUGUGGGUGGGAAGAAUGACCAGAAGCAUGAAAGCUAAACCUUCCAGCAAGUGCAAGUUAUUUCUCGUGGAGGGUGCAGUAAACCUGGGAGGAGGAAUUGCCUUCUGUGAACUUCUAAAGCAUCACAUCUGGAGUGAAGAGGACGGUAAAGCGGUGGCAUAGCGCAGAGGAUGCUGCUGAGAGCUUCGGUCUGCCUUUAACUCAUUGUGGCAAAGUUGGACAUCCCAAAGAUGGCGUAGAUGAACAUGACCAGGAAAAGCAGGAGGCCAAUGUUGAACAGCGCGGGAAGGGACAUCAUCAGAGCGAAGAGCAGGGUGCGGAUGCCCUUGGCGCCUUUGAUCAAGCGUAGGAUUCGGCCAAUCCUGGCCAAGCGGAUGACUCGGAAAAGGAUAUGAAGCAGUGAGUAUUUCAAAGAAUAACGAUGAUGAUAUUGCUGUGAAUGGAGAAUGCAUCACAGAGAAACCUGUCUUCAUCCAAGUGAAGAGACAAGUGUUCCAUCUGAAGAGCAGCAUCAGGUAUACGGAAAGCCCAGCUGUGCAUCACAGAAGCGGCGCACCUUCUGCAUAUCCGGCCUCAGUGACAGAGUGCUGCUGUCUACCAGCUACACCAUCGUGUACUUCUAAAAGUAAACGUUCCUUUAAAAACUGUAGUUUUUUUAAAAAAAUACCAUAAACAAAAUUGGCAUCGAUUUUAUAAACGGUUAGUAUGUCUUCCAUAACAUCAAACUCCAUAGUUUGUCUAGCAUCUUGUAGUGAAUGAUUAGCAUAACUAAUUAUCAAGACAGUUAGCUGUCUUGAUAAUGUCAUACAUGGAAAUCAGAUAAAAGUCUCCUUUAAAUUACACUUUUAAAAAGAAACCCCAUUUACUUUAAAUUGUAAGAAGGAAAACACUAGUUUAAAUACAUGAAAAUGACCAAAACAGAAAGAAAAAGAUAUAUUUUUCCAGUGCACAGGGAAAGGGGAUAGAAAAGAGCAUACUUCUAGACAGAAGAGACUCCCCCUCCCCCAACACCGACUCACUUUCAGAAAAUCCCAUCAUUUGUGUAAAAGCAUAUGUUAAUUUGGUCUUUAUCUUUUCUAAAUUAGCUUUGAAAAAAAAAUUCCCCAAGCUUCGUUGUAGAAAAAAAUUGCCAUUGUAUUCGGAUUAUUUACUAUGGAUGUUAAACUCAAGAAAACAAAACAAAGCAAACAAACAAAAAUGUGUAAAACUUUUUGCUAUGAUUACAAAAGCUGGCAUUGAUUUUGUUUGUUUGAUUGUUUGAUAAUCUUGUUUGGAUCACACUGUUGUACUACAUACAUACUCGAAAUAUAACGUACUAAGUUCCACGAUACAGUGCUGAUUGGCCUGAAAAAAUAAGAUGUUGAGAAAGGGGCUGAUCCGUUUAUCUGUCUGUGAGUGCUUUCCCGGGAUGCGUAGCCUUUCUGGUCUCUCCCAGGUAAAUCAGCUAAUCUGCGUUUGCGUGCUCAUCUUUGCAGACACAGCUGUAGGGCAUAUGCCUUUUCUCUAGUCAAGAAGUAUGAGCUGGCCCUGGUACUGAGACCCACGUAAUAACUCUACCGGAGCAGCCGGAGAGAAAAAGAUUGUUAAGCAUUGCUAGCUACCUUUUCUUUGCACAUUACCAGAACUGGUAGGAUGAGAAGCUGCAGGGGUGUGUAUGGGAGGGGGCAGCUUUCCGGUUGAAGUAGUUGGAUCUCUUUCUCCGCUGAUCACCCACCCACUUUUAAACCCUGGUGGCGCAAUACUUGGUGGCUAAAUCCGAGUUACGUGAAAAUAGACACAGGUGGGUGUGGCAGUUGAGGGGAGCACAAGGAAGAAGACCCUUAGGUCCCCAUUCUGCAACA
Long non-coding RNA from Microtus ochrogaster (prairie vole), 1986 nucleotides. RefSeq lists it as uncharacterized. Lineage: Eukaryota; Metazoa; Chordata; Mammalia; Rodentia; Cricetidae. The record is from RefSeq and is a predicted model, not a curated record. The transcript is spliced from 4 exons.